AAUCCUUCUGGUCUCUGCGCGAUUAUUAUUCCUUCAUUUACGUUUUUUUUCUCAGCUAUCGCCAGUGAAAGAAUCCAGCGAAAUAGAAACCAAAGUUUCGGAUUUGGGGAGAUUUUAUUCGGUUUUAUUCUCUGUCGAUCGAUUGCAUCGAUUUCUAUCCUUUCUUUCGUUGCAUCUUGAGGUAUCGGCGGAACGGGCAAUUCUCUUUCAGCAAAACAAAUUGUACUUUUUUGUGAUUAAAUUGUCAUCUUCCGCAAACUGAUUGAAUUUUAAGGAGAAGAGAGGGUUCAGGGCCGCCGGAAUCUCAGUUUUCUGCGAUCAGAACAUCCUCUCUCAUUCGAAGUUUUGCAUUGAUUUCUUAGUACUUUAGAAAAAGAAAGGAAACAAAAGAUAUUCAUAGCCAGUUUACAGAGUUGGAAUUGGAGAAUUGCUGCUGGAGAGAUUGAUUGGAACAGGGAAGGGAGUCCGGGGUUAUGGGAUCUGUUUGUUCCUGCUUGCACAUCGAAGAUUUCGAAGAAUACACACAUGACAAUGCUUCAGUUUAUAGACACUGCAUCUGUUUCAGAUGCUUGGCUCAGCAGUUGAUACAUGCAGACUUUUGGCUGAGUUUGACAGGAUGACAAGUAGAAUGACUGGUUGAAACUUUCAGACAUUUAAGAUGAAAUUAGUAUACAGUUCUUACAUGCAUAAACUUUAUGGAGUAUCAUGGUUUGUUUCGUCAUCUGUGUUCCAAUACUUCUGCAUUGUGAUAAAAAGAAUACAGGAUUGAACUUAAAGCAAACUGGAACUAUAUUAGUUUGAGGGUCGGAUACAAGACAUGACCAACAAAGAAUUUAAUUAUGUUCUGACGAGCAGUGACUAGUGGAGACGCUUUUAUACUUGUGAGGUUUGGUCCCCACAAGCAGUACACGGCUUUAUUUCGAAGAGGGGAAGUGCGUGCUAUCCCUUCGUCCAGGCAGGGGACUGCUCCUUUAGCUUCUGCUGCACUAGUCACAGAUGAUUCUAUACCGGAUACAUACUGCGCUCCUCCAAGGCCUUUACCUUAUGAUGAUCCUAGAUGCUCACGGCCACAAUAUGAUGGACUUAUCUCAAGGCGUGAUAAGUCUUCAAGCCAUUUCCAUGAGGAAUCUGAACCACUGAGAAGAAAUAGUAACGAUACUGAAAUAGAAUCAAGGAGCAGACUAGACAAGUGGCAUGGAUCUAACUAUGAAGGGGGGUCCAAGUUGUGCCAUUCUGAGUCCUCCCUGAAGCACCCCUUGACAGAAGACACAAAGGGAGCGACUUAUUUUUUUCCUUCAUCUGAAGAUGAAGAUGUGUGCCCAAUAUGUCUUGAAGAAUAUACUUCAGAAAAUCCAAGGAUUAUAAUGCAGUGCACUCAUCAUUUCCACCUUAGUUGUAUAUAUGAGUGGUUCGAGAGAAGUGAUGCCUGUCCAGUCUGUGGCAAGAUGAUGGUGUUUAAUGAGACAACAUGAUGGCAAGGUCAAGUUCAGUUGACUUGGAGGAUAAACUUGUAUCUGUGGAUCUGUAAGUAUAGAGGUGAAUUCUGUCAUACCCCAAAGGCUGUGUGUGUCUAUAUUUCAAGUCUGCUCUUCAUUCAAAGGGCAGGUGGAAGUCAUCAUGUGUUUGCUGAUUUGGGAUGUGUUUUCCCUACUGCCCCAGUAUAUCUAUAUGCACAUAGAAGCAUGUGCAGCAUAUACAGUGUACAGAAAAAAAAAAAGUUUCCAGAAAAUGGUCUUCCAUAAGGAAAAUUUCUUCCAAAGAGUUUGUGCUUUAUAUUCUUCACAAUUUGGAUAGCCACGGAAAUGAAGAACCUGGUAUCGCUUGCAGGAAACUUGAUGCUUUGAGGUUGCCUUCAGAGUAUUCUACAGCACGUUUGGGAUUGUCUUUGGGGGCCUGAGAGGACAUAUUUAGCUCUCACUGGCAUUAGUGCAGAAGCACUCAUCUCAUGUGGCAUUUCCAUAUUAAUUACUAUAAUUUGAGCUACGCAAUGCAGAUAAUCCAAUAAGGAGACUGUUGGUGGUGGAUAUGAAAAGCUGGGGGUGGAGAUCUGCAGACUUCCACCCCUUGUAGUUCGUGUUACAUGAAGAGAUUAUCACUACCUCUAAGUUUGUCUAGGGCGAUGCUUCCGAUAUCGCCACCUCCGUGAAAGAUAAUAUCAUUAAAUGUUUGAAAUGAGUAUACUUUCAAUAGGUUCCAUACUAUGAACAAUAAGUAUAUUUCUGAACA
Molecule: non-coding RNA, 2226 nt
Organism: Phoenix dactylifera (date palm)
Lineage: Eukaryota; Viridiplantae; Streptophyta; Magnoliopsida; Arecales; Arecaceae
Source: RefSeq, a predicted model, not a curated record